UUGAAAUAACAAAAUAACAUAAAACAAGCUAUAUACAGAAAUAUAUAUAUAAAUUUAGAGGGUUAAUGGAGAUGUUCUGGGUUAUUUUAAAAUUGUGUUUACCAAAUACUUCCAAGGUGCAGCCAGUUCUACCACCGGGUGUUCAUUUAAAAGCUUUUGUCUUUCUCGUAAGUAUUUCCAUAGUUUCAGCUAAUGUGCCAUGUGCCAUUUUGUUUAGGGAUCUUAUUACUUUAGUGUCCUACCAAUUCACCUCCAAAUUGCUAAGGCUGUAUUCAAUUUCAUGCCAGCCAAGUCUCUUUUUAUGUUCUGAUCUUUGUUUCAAUGUUCUCGUUGUUACCCUUAUGUAUGCUUCU
RNAcentral lists this long non-coding RNA (353 nucleotides) under Androctonus crassicauda. Lineage: Eukaryota; Metazoa; Arthropoda; Arachnida; Scorpiones; Buthidae. The record is from RNAcentral.